This 342-nucleotide small RNA is filed under the name Microcebus murinus (gray mouse lemur). Its description in RNAcentral is "7SK RNA (ENSMICG00000023366.3)". The stretch from base 1 to 198 matches the Rfam family "7SK RNA". From Rfam's summary of the family: 7SK was discovered as an abundant small nuclear RNA in the mid-70s but a possible function has only recently been suggested. Two independent studies have found that 7SK RNA binds the CDK9/cyclin T complex (known as elongation factor P-TEFb). The record is from RNAcentral. Lineage: Eukaryota; Metazoa; Chordata; Mammalia; Primates; Cheirogaleidae.
GGGCACGAGGGCCAUCGGGCUGCGACCUCUGUCACCCCAUGCAUCGCCAGGGCUGAUCCCAGCUGAUCUGGCUGGCCAGGCGGGUGUCCCCUUCCUCCCGCCCUGCUCCAUGCCUGUCCCUCCCAAAGCUGCCUGCCUGGUGGAAGAGGACGGCCUUCCCGGGCAGAGGACUGUUCUUCAGUCCAGGCUAUGCCAGAACCUCCAAACGCGCUCUCGAGUCCUGGCUCCAUUGUACUGAUCACGUGACUUUGGGCAGGCCACUUACUUUACCUGGGCCUUGGUUUUCUCAUCUGUGAAAUGGGAGAUAAAAUACAGUACGUACCGCAGAGGAUUGUGAUGACG